CGCCCUUAUAGACCCAGGGAAGGGCGAGUCUUAAAGGUGCCGCGCCUAACGGAAGGCAGGACCGUGGGAAUCUAGGAGAAUCCCUCCCUCUGCCCCAAAAGAAGAGAUUCAGAGCCAGGAGCGGGUGAAGAUAUGCGGAAAGAAUGGCAAGAGGGCUCGGUGAAGAAAGGACUGCAGUGUGUGGCAUCACACUCCCUUCCCCCCAACCACACACACCCACACUCACGGGGGCAUGGAUCACACACACAGCCCUCACACCUAAACCAAGAGAGGCGGCGGCAUAGUAUGGAAGUGAACACGGUGACUACGGACGGCCCUAGCUGUCAAGCCCCUGAUUCCCAUAAUUAUAAUCUUGCUCCAGGGACCGGUUGGAGCCGAGAGCUGUGUGACCUUGAAUAAGUCGCUUCUUUUUUCUCAAUCUUAAUUUUCUUAUCUGCAAAAGAGGAGGGCAAGAGUAGACCUCCCGCAAGUACACCUCCUCUCCUCUUCCCCCAAACACCUCUCCAUCUCGACUGGGUCACAAGAACUCUGGCCCAACCAAACCCUUCAGCGCCCCACAAGCACCCUUCCACCAAAAGGGCAGCGGCUCUUGGAUCUUCCAAGAGCCAAGUAGGGGGCGCCCAGGAGCACCCCUCCAUGCUAGAGGACUCUCAGACUCAAGCUUCUCCCUCCUGGCCCAGGCUGGAGGAGCCUGGAAAGCUUGCGUUCUUGUUCCAGUGGGGCAGAUCUGAAUCACUCUCCAUCUGCAGAGACCCCAAUCCCCAACACAGUCACGAGCCCCUCUCCAAGCCCCCCAGCCUGCUGCUCCGUUUGGGAGGAUCGUGCCCCCACCUCCAGCAGUCUACUGGAGUGGGGGUGGGGCGAAAGCGGAAUCACUAAAGAACAACCUCCCCUCCCCGUUCCCGUCAGAGAAGUGGCCACAAGUGCCCCCACAGGACUUCCCACUGGAAAGGGAAGUGCCACACUCCCAGGCCUCCAUCCCAGUGAGGAGACUCAGCUUGAUCCGGCUGGCAGAGCUCUCAAACCCACCGGUCCGACGACCCCGCUUUACAGACGAGGAACCAGAGACGAGGAGUGUACACAGACCGGGAGCGGACACUGGGUUUUGUCCACGGUCGCAGUGGUUACAAAGCCGGGUCUAGAAUUGAGGAGGAACCUGAGAUCAGAACUUUCCCCAAAAGUGAAAAUGUGGGACAUCAAAGCAAUACCCACCAAGACUCUAUGGAGGCUUCUUUGAAGAAAAAUAAAUAAGCCAGGAUACAGACACACACCCCACCACCUUCAAGAGGAAGAAUGUAGGUCAGCAUCUUUGCCACUACUCUAUGUGAAACAGCCUAUGAUCUUGGCAAAAACUAGUAACCACAAGCCCAUCCCAUCCCACUAAAAAUCCCACCACCUUCCCAUAGCUCUCAGCUUCAGUAAGAAAAGCCAGCAAGAAAAGGACUUUCUUCCUCCUUUCAAUCUGCUCCCCGGCUGUUUGAAUUACACUUAAGACUUCACUGACAAACAUACAUCAGCUUUUGCUCCCACAAGGGCAGCGGAAGCCAAGCAGGGACUCUAAGUCUGCUUCACGCAUCAUUGACAGAACCAACCCUGUUCCAAUUGCUGAAGUCUUAAGAGCAGCAAUGACCUAGAAAUUGACAGUGGGGGGAGAACUGAAGGAAAGGAAACUGACAAACCAGUACACAGAAAACCCUAUUUCCAAAUACCAGGGGAAAGAGAGAGAAAGGAGGUAGAGGGGAAAGAGAUUUGGCCCCUUUGAAUCUGCAAAUGUGAUCUUGGCUCAGAGCCAUGGAGGAUACACAGCAGCCCCAUUGCGAGUCAAGCCAUGUUCCUGACUCAAACCCUACAGUUAAGAGGAAGGCGCCAAGCCUCAAACACAACGAGGUGGGGAGGCCGCUCCUUUUUGGGCAGGAUCCUACUGUGGACACAGAACAGACAGCAGCUGCCCACAGUGUGGAAACAAACUGUAAAGCAGUCACGUCUCUUAAGGCUGCAGCAUCCAAUAAAAUGUAAUUUAAAUCAA
Molecule: long non-coding RNA, 2026 nt
Filed under: Equus asinus (donkey)
Lineage: Eukaryota; Metazoa; Chordata; Mammalia; Perissodactyla; Equidae
Description: lncRNA (ENSEASG00005031453.1)
Source: RNAcentral